UGCAUUCACUACUGUAAGUCACUCUGGAUAAGAGCGUCCGCUAAAUGACUAAAA
Molecule: non-coding RNA, 54 nt
Organism: Salmo salar (Atlantic salmon)
Lineage: Eukaryota; Metazoa; Chordata; Actinopteri; Salmoniformes; Salmonidae
Source: Rfam